UACAAAGACUUCUUUUUUUUUUUUAUUUUUUUUAUUUUUUUUUAUUUUUUAACCAAUCGCAACUCUGUACGUUGGUAUUAUUCUAAGGGAGCAAAGCUUUGCCCCAACCCCCACCCCCAUGUCCUGGUACUCUUCCACUCUGAGAGCUUUAGAACCGGGGUUCCAAAGUCUCUGCUUAGCCUAACAGUGACGUGCUUGUCACAAAGCCAGAGGCCGGUGUACUCGGGUUAGAGAGGGCCUUUGUCGUUGGGUUUUAUUCUUAUUGUAUUAUUCGGGCUCCACCGACCCAAAUAUUAGUCAACUGGGUUGGGCGAGGUAGGACGGAUGAAGCCCACCGUCUAACAAUCUGGACAUCUAUAGGAGCAGAUCCGCCGCUCGAAACAGCUGACCCAGCGACGACUGCGGAACCACUAGCAGCGUCUGCACAGAUCGACCCCGCCAUCCCGCCGUCCCGUUCGGUGACCGGAGACGCAGCCGGGAACGCGACUGAUCAGGCUACCGAGCCGGGCCGCAGGGCGAAAGCGGUGCGGUCCGAGGCCUCAGAAAGGGACACGCAGCAGCGGCAGUGGCGCUGACUCAGCCCGGCCUCCCUGCAGUCCCCUCAAAUACAAAGACUUCUCCGCAAAUGUUUAUAGCAGCUUUAUUUGUAAUAGCCAAAAACUGAUCACAAUCCAAAUGUCCACCAACAGAUCAAAGGAGAAGCGAAUUGUGAUCUGUCCAUAUGAGGGGCUUGGUGCCUGCAGCAACAUGGGUGAAUCUCCAGGUAGUGGUGACGAGUUGAAGGAGCCAGUCAAAAAAGAACGUGCUGUGUGAUUCCAUUUAUAGAAAACUCUAGAAAAUGUGGACUAAUCUAGAGUGAGGGAAAGCAGACCCGUGAUUGCGCCUGGGGCAAGGAGACUUGGGGGUGGAGGGGGGGCCAGAGGGAGGGGUUUCAAAGAUGAUAAAGACAUUUUGAGGGUGAUGGAUAUGAUCCCUCUCUUAAUAGUGGCGAUGGCUUCAUGGAUAGAUACAAAUGUCAAGACAUAUUGAACUGUAUACUUUAAAUGCUUGCGCUUUACUACGUGCCAAUCACAUCUUCAUAAGGCUGUUUUUUGUUUUUUUGUUUGUUUUUUUUUUUUAAAAAAAAAGGCCUCGUAAUGGAGAUGAGUACAGCCUGGCCUCAGUCUCCCCACCUGCAAUGUGGGGGAUCCCCGUGUGCCUUGCACCACCUGAGAGCUCCAGGCUUAGGAGGAGACCGAGGUGAGCCCUGUUUCUAGCCAGAAACCCCAAGGCCCUAACCCCCAGGGCUGGGCAGCUGCAGGGCCCAGGCUACUGCCCCUCCGGGGAUGGACGGUGCGAGGCCACUCCAGGGGCAUGACCUGUUUUGGGCAGGCGGUGGCUGUGGGGAGAAGAGUGGGGAGGUCCCUUUCUUUUUUCUUCCUGAAUAAAAAAAUGCAUGAUGCUACAUGUGCCUUGGGAUUUUUCAACACAAUUAUCUAAAAAUAGUGUGGGCCACCACAGCCUGAUUCCUUUUUAGGAAGGAUUUUGGGAGCCCAGCCUGUCCUGGCGGCCAGCUCAGGAAGUGGAGGCUUGUCUGGGUGGGGCCGGGGCUGCAGCGACCCUUCCCUAGCUCCGGCCAAGCCCACCCCAUCUCCCACUUCGCUGAGAGCCGGGCUGCCAGGAGUGCAUGGUGGGGCGGCCAGUGGCUUCCUGGCGGGGCCCACAGCCCCAGUGAAUUUCAGCCCUGCUGCUAGGGCACUGCAUGACUUCU
RNAcentral lists this long non-coding RNA (1750 nucleotides) under Homo sapiens (human). RNAcentral's name for it is "long non-coding RNA NONHSAT169619.1". The record is from RNAcentral. Lineage: Eukaryota; Metazoa; Chordata; Mammalia; Primates; Hominidae.